RNAcentral lists this ribosomal RNA (842 nucleotides) under uncultured bacterium. Its description in RNAcentral is "bacterial SSU rRNA". It matches the Rfam family "Bacterial small subunit ribosomal RNA", at positions 56 to 893 of the family's 1533-position model. The record is from RNAcentral.
UGCAAGUCGAGCGGUAGAGAGGUAGCUUGCGUACUGAUCGUGACGGCGGACGGGUGGGUGAUGCUUGUGAGUCUGCCUGUUAGUGGGGGAGGGAUUUCAAAGGGAAUGCUAAUACCGCACACGUCCUACGGGAGAAAGCAGGGGGGGGUCGGACCGUGCGCUAGUAGAUGAACGUGCCUCGGAUUAACUAGUUGGUGGGGUAAGGGCCUACCCAGGCGACCAUCUGUACCGGGUCGGAGAGGAAGAUCCACCACACUGGGACUGAGACACAGCCCAUACUCAUACGGGAGGCAGGAGUGGGGAAUAUUGGACGAUGGGCGCAAGCCUGAUCCAGCCAUGCCGCGUGUGUGAAGAAGGCCUUAUGGUUGUAUAGCACUUUAAUCGAGGAGGAAGCUACGUUAGUUAGUACCUAGAGAUAGUGGACGUUACUCGCAGAAUAAGCACCGGCUAACUCUGUGCCACCAGCCGCGGUAAUACAGAGGGUGCAAGCGUUAUUCGGAUUUACUGGGCGUAAAGCGCGCGUAGGCGGCUAAUUAAGUCAAAUGUGAAAUCCCCGAGCUUAACUUGGGAAUUGCAUUCGAUACUGGUUAGCUAGAGUGUGGGAGAGGAUGGUAGAAUUCCACGUGUAGCGGUGAAAUGCGUAGAGAUCUGAGGAAUACCGAUGGCGAAGGCAGCCAUCUCGCCUAACACUGACGCUGAGGUGCGAAACAUGGGGAGCAAACAAGAUUAUAUACCCUGGUAGUCCAUGCCCUUAAACGAUGAUCUACUAGCCGUUGUGCCCUUCAGCCUUAGUGCCCACUACAACAAUAAGUAAACCGCCCGGGGGAGUACCGGUCGCACGA